This 531-nucleotide ribosomal RNA is filed under the name uncultured bacterium. RNAcentral describes it as "bacterial SSU rRNA". It matches the Rfam family "Bacterial small subunit ribosomal RNA", at positions 980 to 1509 of the family's 1533-position model. The record is from RNAcentral.
CUUGAACAGCGAGUGACCAGCUCCGAAAGGAGCCUUCCGCAAGGACACUCGUAGAGGUGCUGCAUGGCUGUCGUCAGCUCGUGUCGUGAGAUGUUGGGUUAAGUCCCGCAACGAGCGCAACCCUUGUUUUGCUGUUGCCAUCACGUUAUGGUGGGCACUCUGCAAAGACUGCCGGUGAUAAACCGGAGGAAGGUGGGGAUGACGUCAAGUCAGCAUGGCCUUUAUGUCUGGGGCUACACACGUGCUACAAUGGCCGGUACAAACCGUCGCGAUACCGUAAGGUGGAGCUAAUCGGAGAAAGCCGGUCUCAGUUCGGAUCGUAGGCUGCAACUCGCCUGCGUGAAGUUGGAAUCGCUAGUAAUCGCGGAUCAGCACGCCGUGGUGAAUACGUUCCCGGGCCUUGUACACACCGCCCGUCACAUCACGAAAGCCGGUUGUACUAGAAGUCGCCACACUAACCCGCAAGGGAGGGAGGCGCCUAAGGUAUGGUCGGUGAUUGGGGUGAAGUCGUAACAAGGUAAGCGUAGUGCU